This 253-nucleotide ribosomal RNA is filed under the name uncultured bacterium. Its description in RNAcentral is "partial 16S ribosomal RNA". It matches the Rfam family "Bacterial small subunit ribosomal RNA", at positions 524 to 776 of the family's 1533-position model. The record is from RNAcentral.
UACGGAGGGUGCAAGCGUUAUCCGGAUUUACUGGGUUUAAAGGGUGCGUAGGUGGGUCUGUAAGUCAGUGGUGAAAUCUCCGAGCUUAACUCGGAAACUGCCAUUGAUACUAUAGGUCUUGAAUUAUCUGGAGGUAAGCGGAAUAUGUCGUGUAGCGGUGAAAUGCUUAGAUAUGACAUAGAACACCAAUUGCGAAGGCAGCUUACUACGGAUAUAUUGACACUGAGGCACGAAAGCGUGGGGAUCAAACAGG